RNAcentral lists this long non-coding RNA (297 nucleotides) under Cyanistes caeruleus (blue tit). RNAcentral describes it as "lncRNA (ENSCCEG00000014968.1)". Lineage: Eukaryota; Metazoa; Chordata; Aves; Passeriformes; Paridae. The record is from RNAcentral.
CCCAUCCUGCUUGGCCUUAUGAAGGAUGCCUCUGUGUUUGUUUUGCAGAGGAGGUGUUUUAUACUUAGAGCAGGUUCCUGGUACCUUGAGAGACCUGAGACAUGGACUCGUGAGUUCUUGAUAAUUCAGAAGCAGCUGGAAUUUGCUAAGCAGCGUGGGCAUAUACUGCAGUCCUAAUUCACAAAACUGCUACAUCAUCAUGAUUCCUGUGAUAAUAGACAAGAAAUCGUAAGUCCUUAUUUUGUUGUGUUACAAAUCUGAAUAUUUUAGCAAUAUGACUAUGAAGUAGGUGUGGAC